Molecule: ribosomal RNA, 245 nt
Filed under: uncultured bacterium
Lineage: Bacteria
Description: partial 16S ribosomal RNA
Rfam family: Bacterial small subunit ribosomal RNA
Source: RNAcentral
UGGGUAACCGGCCUCAAAGAGGGGAAUAGCCUCCCGAAAGGGAGAUUAAUACCGCAUAAUAUGUUUAAGUCGCAUGACUUUAACAUCAAAGGAUUUUCUUUUAGAAAUUCCACUUUGAGAUGGACCCGCGGCGCAUUAGCUAGUUGGUGAGGUAACGGCUCACCAAGGCAACGAUGCGUAGCCGACCUGAGAGGGUGAUCGGCCACAUUGGUACUGAGACACGGUCCAGACUCCUACGGGAGCAG